GAUGAACGCUGGCGGCGUGCUUAACACAUGCAAGUCGAACGGAAAGGCCCAAGCUUGCUUGGGUACUCGAGUGGCGAACGGGUGAGUAACACGUGGGUGAUCUGCCCCGCACUUCGGGAUAAGCCUGGGAAACUGGGUCUAAUACCGGAUAGGACCACUUCUUGGAGGUUGUGGUGGAAAGUUUUUUCGGUGUGGGAUGAGCUCGCGGCCUAUCAGCUUGUUGGUGGGGUAUUGGCCUACCAAGGCGUCGACGGGUAGCCGGCCUGAGAGGGUGUACGGCCACAGUGGGACUGAGAUACGGCCCAGACUCCUACGGGAGGCAGCAGUGGGGAAUAUUGCACAAUGGGCGCAAGCCUGAUGCAGCGACGCCGCGUGGGGGAUGACGGCCUUCGGGUUGUAAACUCCUUUCGCUAGGGACGAAGCGCAAGUGACGGUACCUAGAGAAGAAGCACCGGCUAACUACGUG
Molecule: ribosomal RNA, 466 nt
Filed under: uncultured bacterium
Lineage: Bacteria
Description: partial 16S ribosomal RNA
Rfam family: Bacterial small subunit ribosomal RNA
Source: RNAcentral